Molecule: long non-coding RNA, 2287 nt
Organism: Acinonyx jubatus (cheetah)
Lineage: Eukaryota; Metazoa; Chordata; Mammalia; Carnivora; Felidae
Exons: 4
Source: RefSeq, a predicted model, not a curated record
UACAGAGUUUUUAAAGCCGAUCACAUCGUUUUAUCAUUAUCUGGGAACAGAACAGAGAAACAGUUCCCAGAUGAGUUAGAAACAGUUGCCAGAUGAGUCAGAAACAGUUAUUGAAUGAGGUGAUUAUUUUAGACUUUCUGCCACUAAGUUGCAACCAGUGGAUCUCCUUGACCUUGUCUUUGAUGCUCUUUUUUUGAGCUUUUGUUUCCUUCAUUGGUAAAGCCUGAUUCACAAGAGUAUGAAGUAUGAUUUACAAGAGUAAAAGCAAGGCUGUUAUCUUUUGACCUUCAGUGUCAAAACAAAGUUGUUAUUUUUCAAGCUAAGUGUUAGCCUUACACUACAAUUUAACCCUUACAGCAGGCUCGGGGCACUGGCAGCAGCAGGGACCAGCAAACGUUCCUGGGUGUGGCCAGCAUUCAGCCAUUGCUUGGUGAGAGCCUCCCACAGAGGGGCUGAACGGGUCCAAGCCAGAGUCCUUAAGAAGUAAGGUGCCGAGGAGGAGCCAAGAUGGCAGAACAGCAUGGAAGUUUUUUGUGUGUCUCGCGUGUGAAGCUUUUUGUGUGUCUCUUUUGUGUGAAGCUUUUUGUGUGUCUCACGAAGAGCUGAACUUGGGGAACAAGAAGCCAAGAAAGAUAAAAAUUUAAAAAAUUCAGAGCUCCUCGUUCAAAGUUACUGAGACUUUCAAGAUGGUGAAACAAAGCAUCAAAUCAGGCACAGAGCCCAUGGUGGCUGCAGCAUGUCUAUGAAGCUUCCAUACAAUCAGAGAAUGUUCAAGACUAUUUCAUUUUGACUUGAAAAUAAUUUAUAAACAAGACCUCAGAGAGACAACACAUAAAGAGGAAAAUCGUUCCUCGUUACUUCAUCAAAAUGCCGGAUUUCUUGACAUCUGUAGAAACUUCAGAUAAAGUUGAUGUGGGUGGUAUUUUGAAAGAAAUUAGACCACACUGCAGUUAGCUGAAGAACUGGAGUCUUGGUUUAAAUCCCAGCUUCACAAUUGAUUGUAACACAGGCACAUUUAACGGCAGUGAAAUUUGCUGACAGUAGACCCUGAGCAUUCUCUCCACACACAAGCAUCAACAUGUGAAACAAUGGAUGAGUUCAUUACCUUCAUGGUGGUGGUCAUACGACCAUACAGGGAAGCCAAAUCAUCACAUGCACACUUGAUACAUAUACAGAUAUACUUGUCGAUGAUUCCUCAACAACAUGGGGAAACAGCAAAAUUACUUAAAUCAUUUGAGCCCCCAUUUUCUUAUAAUGAGAGAUGAUUUUACUACUUCUCUUGCUGGGUGUUUGGAAGAAAAAAAAUGAGCUAACACCUGUAAGGAACUCAGAAUAAGAACUAAUACAAUAAGUGCACAAUAAAAGUUAUUUCCCUUCUAUUUAUAGCAUAUAUGUGAACAAGGAAUUUAAAUGUGAUAAAUCUACAAUGAAUUCCUGCAAAGCAACAAUAAUGGAUCUCAACACAAAGAUGGACAGGCGAUCCUGCUCACACCCAGGGGACACUCUCUCCGUGUUUAUAUGCCUAAGGUCUGUGGCUCCUGAGAGGCAGGAAGAAUGUCAGAAGGAGACAAAGACGUUUCUGAACAUGAAGAGCUCAUGCUGCAAUCCCAAUAGGAACAGUCACUUCAAAUAUCUUCCUGCCAUUCUCAGCUGUUGGGAGUGUAAACCUGCAAAGCUGGGCAGGCUGUGAAUCCGACAAUCAGGAGAGGUAGGAUUAACAGUGUGAAAACAUACUGUCAAAGAAAGCUAGUCUGACUUGCAUGAAGCCAGCCUUUUACGGAGGUACAGCACAGAUCAGGUAUGUUCUCUAAAUUCCUUCAACUCUACAGCGUAGAAUCCCCCAGACUAUGGAGAGGUACUGCCUCAUCAACCCACUCCUUUAUUCCUCUCACAUCAAAUCUUUCUAUUCUCCUCUCAGGGAUUUCCCAAGCUUAGAAAAAAAAAAUCCCCUUUUUGUAGGAGGCACCCCCAUGUCUGCAUCUCCUUUCAGAUUUCCUUCCAUUAUUUUCAUUCUCUCCUUGUCUAUUUUCCAUAAUUAAAAACGCUUCAGGGGCUUUCUUACAAGGUCUAGAGGUAGCAGUCUGGACGCCCAUUAAAGUUUUCUCAGAAGGUAGAUGUGCACAGCCAGAGAAGAUGGUAGGUUGGCUACAUGCUCUGAGUCUCUGGGAGAAAGACACAUAUUAAUGACAAUCAAAUAAAGGGAAAAAAUGGUGGACCAAUGGCCCAUAACCAACAGUUCACCAUAAUAUCUAAUAGUCUAAUGAGGCAAAUCCUAUAAAAGGAAUGA